RNAcentral lists this long non-coding RNA (697 nucleotides) under Heterocephalus glaber (naked mole-rat). RNAcentral's name for it is "lncRNA (ENSHGLG00100038156.1)". Lineage: Eukaryota; Metazoa; Chordata; Mammalia; Rodentia; Bathyergidae. The record is from RNAcentral.
GAGCGUUUGCCUGGGAAGGCUGUGCGUUGGACCACAUGCACCGAUGACAACAGUGACAACCGCAGCCGCCACAGCUCAUCACGGGUUGUGUGGAGCACAGCUUUCAUGUAAUAGGGAGCCUGAAAAAUGUAGCUGACCCUGGAUAGGUAAAGUAAUUAAAUGUACUCACGGUAAGGAAGUGAUCAAUUUUAAGGGCAUUCAUAUGCCAAUUAUCCUGACUGGAUCAUGAUGCAAUGUACAGAUGGAUGGAAGCCUCACACUGUACCUCCUACACAUGCCCGGGGAUACGUGGUGACGUCAAGGUGAACGGAUUGAGAGACACCUAGCGGGGUCAGCAGUGAGCUCCAGGCCUUGGAUGCUGGCUGGAUAUUCCCAAGUUUGCAACAUGAAGACGGCCACGAGAAAGGUCCGAUGACCCUAACAUCGAAGGCAGAGAUUCCUGCAGCGGGGAGUCCCUGGGAAACCCGCAGGGCACCACCACCUCUGCCACCCCCUGAGCACUGCAGACUCCACGCCCGACUGCUGCGUACUUUGCUGGCUCUAACCAGGAGGCCUCCCCUGAUGAGAAAGAGCUUGGAGUAUCGAGAAGGGUUCAGUCACCUAGUUCAAGAAACAGAAUUGGAGGAUACAGCCUUAGAAUACUUACAGAACUUGCCUCCAUAUGGACAGGGCUCCUCUGCUCUACUCCUGCAGCCAC